CUACCGGAAACGGUAGCUAAUACCGAAUACUUGUUUUCUUCGCCUGAAGAGAACUGGAAAGACGGAGCAAUCUGUCACUUGAGGAUGGGCCUGCGGCGCAUUAGCUAGUUGGUGAGGUAACGGCUCACCAAGGCGACGAUGCGUAGCCGACCUGAGAGGGUGAUCGGCCACGCUGGGACUGAGACACGGCCCAUACUCCUACGGGAGGCAGCAGUAAGGAAUCUUCCGCAAUGGGCGAAAGCCUGACGGAGCAAUGCCGCGUGAGUGAUGAAGGUUUUCGGAUCGUAAAGCUCUGUUGCCAGGGAAGAACGCUCAGGAGAGUAACUGCUCCUGAGGUGACGGUACCUGAGAAGAAAGCCCCGGCUAACUACGUGCCAGCAGCCGCGGUAAUACGUAGGGGGCAAGCGUUGUCCGGAAUUAUUGGGCGUAAAGCGCGCGCAGGCGGUCAUUUAAGUCUGGUGUUUAAUCCCGGGGCUCAACCCCGGAUCGCACUGGAAACUGGGUGACUUGAGUGCAGAAGAGGAGAGUGGAUUCCACGUGUAGCGGUAAAUGCGUAGAGAUGUGGAGGACACCAGUGGCGAAGCGACUCUCUGGCUGUACUGAGCUGAGCGCGAAGCGUGGGGAGAAACAGGAUAAAUCCCUGGUCUCACCCCGUCACGAUGAUGCAGGUGUAGGGGUUCGAUCCCUUGGUGCGAAAUUACACAUUAACAUUCCCCGGGGAAUACGGCGCAGACUGAACUCAAAGAAUUGCGGGACCCCACAGCGGGGAUAUGUGUUUAUUCGAACACGCGAAAACUUACAGG
RNAcentral lists this ribosomal RNA (803 nucleotides) under Paenibacillaceae bacterium. RNAcentral's name for it is "bacterial SSU rRNA". It matches the Rfam family "Bacterial small subunit ribosomal RNA", at positions 147 to 977 of the family's 1533-position model. The record is from RNAcentral. Lineage: Bacteria; Bacillati; Bacillota; Bacilli; Caryophanales; Paenibacillaceae.